CCUACGGGGGGCUGCAGUGGGGAAGAUUGGACAAUGGGGGCAACCCUGAUCCAGCCAUGCCGCGUGUGUGAAGAAGGCCCUCGGGUUGUAAAGCACUUUCAGUGAGGAAGAACGCCUGGUGGUUAAUACCCAUCAGGAAAGACAUCACUCACAGAAGAAGCACCGGCUAACUCCGUGCCAGCAGCCGCGGUAAUACGGAGGGUGCGAGCGUUAAUCGGAAUUACUGGGCGUAAAGCGCGCGUAGGUGGCUUGAUAAGCCGGUUGUGAAAGCCCCGGGCUCAACCUGGGAACGGCAUCCGGAACUGUCAAGCUAGAGUGUAGGAGAGGAAGGUAGAAUUCCCGGUGUAGCGGUGAAAUUCGUAGAGAUCGGGAGGAAUACCAGUGGCGAAGGCGGCCUUCUGGACUGACACUGACACUGAGGUGCGAAAGCGUGGGUAGCAAACAGGAUUAGAUACCCUUGUAGUC
RNAcentral lists this ribosomal RNA (465 nucleotides) under Vreelandella stevensii. RNAcentral's name for it is "partial 16S ribosomal RNA". It matches the Rfam family "Bacterial small subunit ribosomal RNA", at positions 338 to 795 of the family's 1533-position model. The record is from RNAcentral. Lineage: Bacteria; Pseudomonadati; Pseudomonadota; Gammaproteobacteria; Oceanospirillales; Halomonadaceae.